This 433-nucleotide ribosomal RNA is filed under the name uncultured bacterium. Its description in RNAcentral is "partial 16S ribosomal RNA". It matches the Rfam family "Bacterial small subunit ribosomal RNA", at positions 29 to 507 of the family's 1533-position model. The record is from RNAcentral.
AGCGAACGCUGGCGGCAGGCCUAACACAUGCAAGUCGAACGGAUCCUUCGGGAUUAGUGGCGGACGGGUGAGUGACACGUGGGAACGUGCCCUUUGGUUCGGAACAACUCAGGGAAACUUGAGCUAAUACCGGAUGUGCCCUUCGGGGGAAAGAUUUAUCGCCAUUGGAGCGGCCCGCGUCUGAUUAGCUAGUUGGUGAGGUAACGGCCCACCAAGGCGACGAUCAGUAGCUGGUCUGAGAGGAUGAUCAGCCACACUGGGACUGAGACACGGCCCAGACUCCUACGGGAGGCAGCAGUGGGGAAUCUUGCGCAAUGGGCGAAAGCCUGACGCAGCCAUGCCGCGUGAAUGAUGAAGGUCUUAGGAUUGUAAAAUUCUUUCAGCGGGGACGAUAAUGACGGUACCCGCAGAAGAAGCUCCGGCUAACUUCGUG